GUACCUACGGGGGGCAGCAGUGGGGAAUAUUGCACAAUGGGGGAAACCCUGAUGCAGCGACGCCGCGUGAGUGAAGAAGUAUUUCGGUAUGUAAAGCUCUAUCAGCAGGGAAGAAAAUGACGGUACCUGACUAAGAAGCCUCGGCUAACUACGUGCCAGCAGCCGCGGUAAUACGUAGGGGGCAAGCGUUAUCCGGAUUUACUGGGUGUAAAGGGAGCGUAGACGGCGAUGCAAGCCAGAUGUGAAAGCCCGGGGCUCAACCCCGGGACUGCAUUUGGAACUGUGUGGCUGGAGUGUCGGGGAGG
Molecule: ribosomal RNA, 305 nt
Filed under: uncultured bacterium
Lineage: Bacteria
Description: bacterial SSU rRNA
Rfam family: Bacterial small subunit ribosomal RNA
Source: RNAcentral